CUCACUCUCCCAACGCGCGCUACUUCUCCAGCGGGCGCAGGGCUCAGGGGCACAUGCCGCCCCCGCCCUUGUGCGCUUGCGGCUCCCAGCUAGCAGUCCCCUGCACCGAGCUUUCGCCUGGCUUUCCGCGGGAGCCUUCCAGCGGAUUCUUGGCUGGCAAGGACGGGGGAGCGAGGGAGAGGGAAGUUAGGGCUGCCGAUUUCUCUCCCCACUCCAGCGGCGGCGGCGUUCAGUCCUCUGGGUGGGAUGUACUCCCAGCAGCUGCGGCAGCGGCAGCAGCGGAGGUGCCCGAGCCAUGCACCCCGUAGCCGGGGACAAGGGAAUGGCCAGGAAAAAAAGACCGGGGUGAACCAGCCGGGUGAAGUCCCAGGGCCGCAGAGCUGCACGGGGAAUCUGUCCUGGAGAAGCCUUCUCCGCCUGCCUGGACACUUUAAGCAGUGGUGGCGGCAAACAGCGUGAGAUUGCAAACCGGACAGCGAGCCUCCCUGGUUCCGACGUUGCACUGACCUCUGGAGAUGACAAGUGAGCAAGAAGUGUCCGGCCGGGCCAUCCCCCUCAGUGGCUUGAUGCAGGAUCUCAGUUACCAAAUAAGGGACUGAACUCGUGCCACAGCAGUAAGAGUGCCUGAUCCUAACCAUCAAACCACCGUGGAACUCCCUCAGAUUUUAACUUUUACUCUCGAAUGAGAAGUAUCCCAAAGUCUGGUUUCAAGACAGACCAAGAACCAGAUGUAUACAUUGGUGUGGAUAGGGAGAUCUCAAGAAGAAGCCCUCUAGUUCAAGCUGAAUGAGCAAGAAAGUCUACUGGCAGCAACAGUCAUGGCAGCCGGAAUCCACAAGCAUCUAAUGCACUAAGGAAGAGGAACUCUCUUCUCUGACCAGAGGAACUGUGGUCACAAGAAGGCGACAAGAACCCCUGUUGCUUUUUUUCCUCUGUGGCCCGUAGAUGAAAAUAGAUGGCCAUAGGGGGAAAUCUCUGAAAAGCUGGUACAAGUUUCGUUUUGGUCCUGAAGUUGGUUAUAGUUGCAGGAACUGUGUGACAGAGCAGGGUAAAUAAAAUCCCAGCUUUCCAGCACCAUGAAAGGGAGCCACAGGGAGCAGAUACUGAGAAAAGAGUGUAGAAGAGUGUAUAGAGGGAGGAGCUCGAGAAAGCAACAUCAUAAGCUUAUUUAUAAAUUCCUGGGCUCAUCCUGGAGUUGCACAUACAUGGAUCUGUUCCUUAAUAGCAAAUCAAAGACUUUGAUAACUGAACUGAGAGAUCCAGGUCCCAGACUGGCCAUUAGAUGUGGGACAAAUUUGCAUAGCUUGGCAAAUGUUUUGAAACAAGACUGCCACUGAAACCACAACUCAUAGAAAGCUGUCUGAAACUGAUGAAUCCAAUAAGUCACCUGGUUGCUAUACAAAAAUAUAGUGUCCAUAAGAUUUAAACAAGAAAUAUGUAUUUCUAUUUAAUAGCAAUAGCCAGUUAGAAUCAAAAUUUUUAAAGUAAUAUUUAUGAUAUCUCAAAAAGAAAUAUACAUUAAUUUAAUAAAACAGGUACUGGAUUUGUAUUCUGAAAACUAUAAAACACGAAUUAAAGAAAUCAAAGAAAACCUAAAUUAAUGGCAACAUGGCAACAUUCAAUGUUUUUUGGAUUGGAAGACACAAAAUAGUAAUGAUGUCAAUUUUCCUCAAAUCAAUCUACAGAUUCGAAGCAAGACUACAAUAAAAAAUCUCAGCAGCAUGUUUACUGGACAUGGACAAUCUAUAUUCUAAAAUUCAAUCAAGACUAUGAUAUU
RNAcentral lists this long non-coding RNA (1777 nucleotides) under Sus scrofa (pig). Its description in RNAcentral is "lncRNA (ENSSSCG00000054950.1)". The record is from RNAcentral. Lineage: Eukaryota; Metazoa; Chordata; Mammalia; Artiodactyla; Suidae.